GGUCCUAUAGUGUAGCUUGGUUAUCACUUUCGGUUUUGAUUUCGCAAGGAGUUGAAAUUUCCGAACAACAUCAGUUCGAAUCUGGUUAGGACCU
Non-coding RNA from Lodderomyces orthopsilosis Co 90-125, 94 nucleotides. Lineage: Eukaryota; Fungi; Ascomycota; Pichiomycetes; Serinales; Debaryomycetaceae. The record is from the annotation of a RefSeq genome assembly.